Molecule: ribosomal RNA, 490 nt
Filed under: uncultured bacterium
Lineage: Bacteria
Description: partial 16S ribosomal RNA
Rfam family: Bacterial small subunit ribosomal RNA
Source: RNAcentral
AUUGAACGCUGGCGGCAGGCCUAACACAUGCAAGUCGAACGGUAACAGGAAGCAGCUUGCUGCUUCGCUGACGAGUGGCGGACGGGUGAGUAAUGUCUGGGAAGCUGCCUGAUGGAGGGGGAUAACUACUGGAAACGGUAGCUAAUACCGCAUAAUGUCGCAAGACCAAAGAGGGGGACCUUCGGGCCUCUUGCCAUCGGAUGUGCCCAGAUGGGAUUAGCUUGUUGGUGGGGUAACGGCUCACCAAGGCGACGAUCCCUAGCUGGUCUGAGGGGAUGACCAGCCACACUGGAACUGAGACACGGUCCAGACUCCUACGGGAGGCAGCAGUGGGGAAUAUUGCACAAUGGGCGCAAGCCUGAUGCAGCCAUGCCGCGUGUAUGAAGAAGGCCUUCGGGUUGUAAAGUACUUUCAGCGGGGAGGAAGGGAGUAAAGUUAAUACCUUUGCUCAUUGACGUUACCCGCAGAAGAAGCACCGGCUAACUCCGUG